GAUGAACGCUAGCGGCAGGCCUAAUACAUGCAAGUCGUACGGCAACACAGUUGCGAGCAAUCGCAACCGGCGGCGAGUGGCGCACGGGUGAGUAACGCGUAUGUAACCUACCCUUCUCCGGGACAUAACUCCGCGAAAGCGGUGCUAAUAUCCCAUACCAACUCAUCAAGACAUCUUCUUGAGUUGAAAGCAGCAAUGCGGUGAAGGAUGGGCAUGCGUCCCAUUAGCUGGUUGGUGAGGUAAUGGCCCACCAAGGCUACGAUGGGUAGGGGUUCUGAGAGGAAAGCCCCCCACACUGGUACUGAGACACGGACCAGACUCCUACGGGAGGCAGCAGUAAGGAAUAUUGGGCAAUGGUCGAAAGACUGACCCAGCCAUGCCGCGUGCAGGAUGAAGGCCCUAUGGGUUGUAAACUGCUUUUAGCCGGGAAUAAACACCCGUUUUAUAACGGGCCCGAAGGUACCGGCUGAAUAAGCAUCGGCUAACUCCGUGCCAGCAGCCG
RNAcentral lists this ribosomal RNA (502 nucleotides) under uncultured bacterium. Its description in RNAcentral is "bacterial SSU rRNA". It matches the Rfam family "Bacterial small subunit ribosomal RNA", at positions 28 to 517 of the family's 1533-position model. The record is from RNAcentral.